GGAAGUAAAAGUCGUAACGAGGUUUCCGUAGGUGAACCUGCGGAAGGAUCAUUCAUAAUAAAGUGUUUUAUGGCACUUUUUAAAAAUCCAUAUCCACCUUGUGUGCAAUGUUAGAUCUCGUCAAUCUUGGCGAGAUUUUUAUACAUCAACUCAUUCUUUAACUAAUUUGUCUGAAAAAUAUUAUGAAUACUUAAUUCAAAAUACAACUUUCAACAACGGAUCUCUUGGCUCUC
This 233-nucleotide unclassified non-coding RNA is filed under the name plant metagenome. RNAcentral describes it as "partial contains small subunit ribosomal RNA, internal transcribed spacer 1, and 5.8S ribosomal RNA". The stretch from base 1 to 54 matches the Rfam family "Eukaryotic small subunit ribosomal RNA", at positions 1778 to 1831 of the family's 1831-position model. The record is from RNAcentral.